GGAUUAGAUACCCUAUUAUUAUAGAUUUAAAACUUAUAAAAUUUGAGUAGUAAUAGUUAUAGUCUUGAAACUUAAAGAAUUUGGCGGUAUUUUAGUCUAUUUAGAGGAAUCUGUCCCGUUAUCGAUAUUCCACGUUGGACCUUACUUAAUUAAUUUAUAUGUAUACCGCCGUAUAUUGAAUCUCUUAUUAGGGUUAAUUUUCUUAAUAUAUAAAUAUAUAAUAUUUCAGGUCAAGGUGCAGUUAAUAAUUAAGUGGUGAUGGAUUACAAUAUAUUUAUAGACGGAUUAAGUAUUGAAAUAAAUUUUUAUGAAGGUGGAUUUAAUAGUAAUUUUAAUAAGAAUAUUAAAAUAAUUAAGGCUCUAGAAUGUGUACACAUCGCCCGUCACUCUCGUUAAAUUAAGGUGAGAUAAGUC
Molecule: ribosomal RNA, 414 nt
Filed under: Pseudophoraspis sp. nr. nebulosa DJGI-2006
Lineage: Eukaryota; Metazoa; Arthropoda; Insecta; Blattodea; Blaberidae
Description: partial 12S ribosomal RNA
Source: RNAcentral